This is a long non-coding RNA of Ruditapes philippinarum (Manila clam), 1283 nucleotides long. RefSeq lists it as uncharacterized. NCBI's taxonomy places the organism in Eukaryota, Metazoa, Mollusca, Bivalvia, Venerida, Veneridae. The transcript is spliced from 4 exons. The record is from RefSeq and is a predicted model, not a curated record.
AUGUGAAAGUCUAUGUGCGCUCAUGUGUUGCUUGUCAAAGAACAGAUCCUUUAAAGCCUGCAAAGAAACCUGAACUGCAACAAAUAAAGGUUUCCAGUCCAUUUGAACUGGUUGGAGUGGAUUUAAUAGGACCCUUUACAACCACUAGUCAAGGCUUCAAAUACAUUUUUACUGCCACUGACUACAAUACAAAAUGGGUUGAAGCAUUUCCCAUUGCCUCCAAAAAAGCAACAGAUGUAGCCAAGUGUUUUCAGAAGCUGUUUGCUAGGCAUGGUGCUGUAAAUGCGAUUCUUACAGAUCAGGGAAAAGAAUUUCUGAACAAUCUAAAUGAACAACUUUGUCAGGAGUGGAAUAUCAAGCAUAAAGUGACAGCAGCAUACCAUCCACAAACAAAUGGUCUAGAUGAGAGGACCAACCAAACCUUGAAAGCGUAAGUUUAUUAUAUAUUUUAUUUGUUUUAAUAUUUUCUAUUCAUCACUGAUACAAAAAAUUAACGCUUACUAUUUUUAAUUACUGUUCAAUUAAUUAUUGUCAUUAUUUGUUUCUAAAUCAAUUUAGUAAUUAAAACAUGUAUUAUAUUGUGAAUAUAAAUUCUUAUUUUAAUUAAAAGAAAACUUUAAAAAAAAACACAAAUGUUAACAGUAAGCUAUUACAGUUGUAGUAAAAGCUUUCAUCUGUAGUUGUGUCCCUUUGUUAAUCAAACACCAUUUACCUCAUUUGAUUUUUUCAUUAAAGAUUUUUUGUUUUUAAAUGGUUUGGGUUUGUGUGGUUUAUUAAUUAAGGAAUGUUUGCAUGUUACCGUUAUGUUGUGAACUUGAGAUUUUUAUAACAAUUUGAUGCCUGACUGAUCGACAUGUAAAAUAUGAGUGUCCUAAUUACAAUUGUUAAUUGAAGUUAAUUUCACAUUGAAAAAGCAUUUUUCAUAUACAGGGCCUUAUAAUUCUACAUUAAAAUAUUAUUAAAAAAUCAAGGCCUAAGAGCAUUAUACUUAUGUUAGCAUUAUAAUGGGUCACAUUUAACAGGCCUGCAGUAUUUUCAAAUUCAACUUCUUGUAUUUUAACAUCAGUCUUCUAACUAAAGUAAUUCAAUUUAUGCCAGUAUUCCUACUCCCAUUUAAAUUGAUUUUAUAGUGUUUAUGUAACAGACUAAGUUAUAUGCCCGACAGCAGUGAAUAUGACAUAACAGCUGUCAAAAAAUCUAAACAUUAUCGAGUAAAGACUAGCUAAAUACUGUAUGUGUAGAAAUAUUAGCGGGCUUCAAAUUUUCGCAAUCUUCAUUGUGAC